CAUUAUGUGAUGAAGUAUUUCCAUUUACACAGCAGAGUUUUUGAUACUAAUGAGCCAGAUAACACAUUCUCCAAAACCACUUGCUUGGUGUUACUCUUCACACCUUUCUCAAUACCACUUCCUGCUACAUGUGGCCCUAGUAUAAACUUAUCAAUCAGAUGAAAUGCAGCAGGUAUUAAGAGAUUAAAAAAAAAAAGAGAGAGAGAGAGAGAGAGGAGAUGUUUCUUUUACCUUUAACUGAAAGUCUGAGGUAACCAGGAACAUUAUAGAAACAACCCUGAAAGUCCAUACAUUUUUUUCUUUUCUUUGCUGAUUGAGAUUUGUUUAAUUUCUUUACAUAUAUGCUCUGAAGCUUUCAAAGCAAAUUCAAAUAUUUAUUAACCAAAUGUAGUUAUAUUCAUCUACUUUUUUUUUUUUUUUUUUUUUCCAGGAAACGCAUGAGACACCCCAUGCAAUCCUAUGGUUUUUUGUAGCCAGUGAGUCAGGUCUGGAAAUUCAGUACACAUGAGUCAAUAAGAUUUCAGGUUCCUAUGGAGAGUCCAGCAAGGACAUUUUUCAACCAGCAGUGGACAGGCCUCUGUUGCCUAUGCUGCAUGGCUCUUCUUGGGCUGGUUAAUUAAAUAUACUACGUCCAGACUGGGUUCCCCCUAACCUGUGUCAUGUUAUGCUGCAGGUGAGAUUGUCCUUCUCAAAGACUUGUAACGGCAGCAUUUUCCUCUGAAGUACGGUGACUAUGUCUUUCGCUGGCUUUCUGACUGCCCUAGCACAAGGCUUCUGCUAAGCCUGAUAGUCCAUAUAAGAAUUUUAUAUCAUAGAAGACUGAUGAUAGUCUAGCAGUCCUUGUCUUGUACCUUUUCUCAAGCUCUUGAAACAGUACUUAAAUGCAAAAGACAAUGAAAAAGAGUGUGGGAAGUCUCUUCUCCAACCUUUAGUGGAACCAAGGCAGUUGGCUUUCAUUUAUCAUCAAUUUUGGGGUGAAAGGGAGAGGUUUUGCAGGAGGCUAUGACUAGGCACAGCACAGAAGAGCAUGUCUACAAGAACAGUUUGGCUGUUGUGCUGCCUAAGACUCUGCAGGCCAAAACCUCCUUGUCAAGCUGAAGGUGGACACUUUGGCUGUACAGAAAAGAGCCCCUAGAUGUGAAGAUGCUGCUAGAUAUGCCCAGGGAAUCGUGGCAGGAAUCAUGGAAAUGCUGUCUUCACAAAGACAUUUUGUCUCCAAGAACAUUUUCAUUUUACACCCAAGUCUAGCCGGAGGUGAAUUCUUUUGUUUAAUGAAGAGCCACAGCUCCUUUGGAACAAAAUGUUCUCCUGUAAGCCGGGUGAGCCUCUGGUUUUAUUGAAGAACAGUCCUGCAGACCAAGACAAUGCUGUACUUCACUACCCUUUUUGAAUUACCACUCUGUCAUUUCCCAGAGGAACAUGAUCGGCCGACCACUAAACUCUGCUUUAAGAUCUUAUGCCCGAUCUAAAUGAGACAGAAUGAAGCCCUGGAGAGAUUUCAACCCUUGCUUUGUUGAAACAACAUUGCUUUGUUUGGAAUGUAUUUGCCUUUGUACUGGGGAAUGAAAAUGUAACCCAGUGCCCAGUUUUGAAAUAUAUAAAUACAGUGCUUCCCAUAUAUAUAAA
Long non-coding RNA from Cygnus olor (mute swan), 1626 nucleotides. RefSeq lists it as uncharacterized. The record is from RefSeq and is a predicted model, not a curated record. The transcript has 2 exons. Lineage: Eukaryota; Metazoa; Chordata; Aves; Anseriformes; Anatidae.